Molecule: ribosomal RNA, 253 nt
Filed under: uncultured bacterium
Lineage: Bacteria
Description: partial 16S ribosomal RNA
Rfam family: Bacterial small subunit ribosomal RNA
Source: RNAcentral
UACGAAGGGGGCUAGCGUUGCUCGGAAUUACUGGGCGUAAAGCGCACGUAGGCGGAUUUGUAAGUCAGGGGUGAAAUCCCGGGGCUCAACCUCGGAACUGCCUUUGAUACUGCAAAUCUCGAGUCCGGAAGAGGUGAGUGGAAUUCCUAGUGUAGAGGUGAAAUUCGUAGAUAUUAGGAAGAACACCAGUGGCGAAGGCGGCUCACUGGUCCGGUACUGACGCUGAGGCGCGAAAGCGUGGGGAGCAAACAGG